This 410-nucleotide long non-coding RNA is filed under the name Pan troglodytes (chimpanzee). Its description in RNAcentral is "long non-coding RNA NONPTRT013353". Lineage: Eukaryota; Metazoa; Chordata; Mammalia; Primates; Hominidae. The record is from RNAcentral.
CUUUGACCAUUUCCCACGACCUCUGUCACUCCCCCGGAACCCAACCUCAUCACUUUCACCAAGAUCAGGCAUCCACUUCCUGAUCUCCUGCCUCCACCUGCUGAGCUCUCUGAAAUGAUCUGGAAUCUCUUGAUGCCUGUAUCCAGAGGACGCUCUCUGCCUUGUACCCACCGUUUGAAGCCACGGCAGCCACGGUGCUCUGGCAGCUGUUCAGCGUGGCCGAGAGGUGCCACGGUGGGGACGGGCUGCACUGCCUCACCAGCUUCCUCCUCCCAGCCAAGAAGGCCCUGCAGCACCUGCAGCAGGAAGCCUGUGCCAGGUACAGGGGUCUGGUCUUCCUGCACCCAGGCUGGCCGCUGUGCGCCCAUGAGAAGGUGGUGGUGCAGCUGGCGUCCCUGCACGGAGUCAGG